CUGAUUCCACAGACAGCCGUUCAGGCCCUCACACAGCUCUCUCUGCGUCAACCAGGAUGGUGAAAAAGAAUUUAUAUGGAGGCAUGAAUCAAGUCUAACAUCUUCAAUGAUUGGUAAUUCAUUUAAGGGCUGACCAGCACUUUAAAAUCCUAGAUAUUUAGUGAAUAAAAAAUGUUUCCCAUA
This is a long non-coding RNA of Cygnus atratus (black swan), 183 nucleotides long. RefSeq lists it as uncharacterized. The transcript is spliced from 2 exons. Lineage: Eukaryota; Metazoa; Chordata; Aves; Anseriformes; Anatidae. The record is from RefSeq and is a predicted model, not a curated record.